GAUGAAGAACGCAGCGAAAUGCGACAAGUAAUGUGAAUUGCAGAAUUCCGUGAAUCAUCGAAUCUUUGAACGCACAUUGCGCCCGCCAGUAUUCUGGCGGGCAUGCCUGUCUGAGCGUCAUUUCAACCCUCAUGCCCCUAGGGCGUGGUGUUGGGGAUCGGCCAGCGCCCGCGAGGGACGGCCGGCCCCUAAAUCUAGUGGCGGACCCGUCGUGGCCUCCCCUGCGAAGUAGUGAUAUUCCGCAUAGGAGAGCGACGAGCCCCUGCCGUUAAACCCCCAACUUUCUAAGGUUGACCUCAGAUCAGGUAGGAAUACCCGCUGAACUUAAGCAUAUCAAUAAGCGGAGGA
RNAcentral lists this unclassified non-coding RNA (348 nucleotides) under soil metagenome. RNAcentral describes it as "partial contains 5.8S ribosomal RNA, internal transcribed spacer 2, and large subunit ribosomal RNA". The stretch from base 1 to 120 matches the Rfam family "5.8S ribosomal RNA", at positions 35 to 154 of the family's 154-position model. The record is from RNAcentral.